GUGUCCCGCAGGUGUUCAGUGGAGUCUCCGGGCAGGAGUUCUCAGCACAGAGGCAGCUGCUGUAGUUCCCGCAGCGGAUCCGUCUCCUCCACCGCCAGCAUCUCCAAAUCACCCAGCAGAUCAAGUGCAAAGUGCAGGAACGACAGGCACAAACAGGAAGGAAGUCACUCCAGCCACAGCCCACCGCCGUCCCCCACCACUGACCAGCCAAUCACGUGGCAGAAUGGGAACCACAGCAUCCGUGUACGCAAUGGCAAAGAUUCAGAAGCCAAUCACACGGAGGGGAAUAAAGGGAACGAUCACUCAUAUGAUUUGGAACUGGACCGAGUAGAUUAAAUGGUGGAAGGUAGGUAACGCUCUGCCUACGCACGUGGAGAAUGUGACAAGCACCCUAGCUUGACAUCAGUGUCUCUCUCUCUCUUUUUCCCUUUGUUUAUCUGAGGAAAACCAAAGGUUGGCGGGUUGUUUUCAUUGCUUUCUUUUUAGAAAUGUUUGCUCUAUUUUCAUUCUUUUUUUUUGUUUCAAUCUGAAAUCUACCUUUGCUUUCAUGCUUCAGUCUUCAGUACACUGCCCUCCCCACAGGUCCAUCUCUUGUCUGCAUUUUAUUUGAUUUUUCUUAUUAUUUUUUGGUAGAAUGCAUUUCCUGUCUGUGCCGCAUUCCUUUUGUCUUUGGUGAAAUGGUACGUGUCAUAUGAUUUGGUCACUUUCCCUUUUUAUUUUUUGGAUACACAAGGGCUGUUUCUGAAGUAUCUGGGGUUUACGUUCAGCUGU
Molecule: long non-coding RNA, 771 nt
Filed under: Sinocyclocheilus grahami
Lineage: Eukaryota; Metazoa; Chordata; Actinopteri; Cypriniformes; Cyprinidae
Description: lncRNA (ENSSGRG00000044145.1)
Source: RNAcentral